RNAcentral lists this ribosomal RNA (744 nucleotides) under uncultured fungus. Its description in RNAcentral is "SSU rRNA". It matches the Rfam family "Eukaryotic small subunit ribosomal RNA", at positions 564 to 1330 of the family's 1831-position model. The record is from RNAcentral. Lineage: Eukaryota; Fungi.
GAGCCAGCAGCCGUGCAAAUUCCAGCUCCAAUAGCACAUAUUAAUGUUGAUGCGGUUAAAACGAUCGUAGUUGAACCUUGGCCCUGGAUGGCCGGCCCGCCUCACCGCGUGCGCUGGGCCGGCCGGGCCUUUCCCUCUGUGGAACCCCAUACCCUUCACUGGGCGUGUCUGGGAAACAGGACAUUUACUUUGAAAAAAUUAGAGUGCUCCAGGCAGGCCUAUGCUCGAAUACAUUAGCAUGGAAUAAUAAAAUAGGACGCGCGGUUCUAUUUUGUUGGUUUAUAGGACCGCCGUAAUGAUUAAUAGGGACAGUCGGGGGCAUCAGUAUUCAACUGUCAGAGGUGAAAUUCUUGGAUCAGUUGAAGACUAACUACUGCGAAAGCUUUUGCCAAGGAUGUUUUCAUUAAUCAGGAACGAAAGUUAGGGGAUCGAAGACGAUCAGAUACCGUCGUAGUCUUAACCAUAAACUAUGCCGACUAGGGAUCGGACGGUGUUAUUCAUGACCCGUUCGGCACCUUACGAGAAAUCAAAGUGCUUGGGCUCCAGGGGGAGUAUGGUCGCAAGGCUGAAACUUAAAGAAAUUGACGGAAGGGCACCACCAGGGUGGAGCCUGCGCAUAAUUUGACUCACACGGGGAAACUCAUCAGGUCAGACACAGUGAGAUGACAGAUGAGAGCUCUUUCUGAUUUCGUGGGUGAGGUGCAUGGCCGUCUAGUGGUGGGUGACUUGUCUGCUAAUGCGAUA